Molecule: ribosomal RNA, 638 nt
Filed under: Riemerella anatipestifer
Lineage: Bacteria; Pseudomonadati; Bacteroidota; Flavobacteriia; Flavobacteriales; Weeksellaceae
Description: bacterial SSU rRNA
Rfam family: Bacterial small subunit ribosomal RNA
Source: RNAcentral
AGAACUGCCGUUGAUACUGCUAGUCUUGAGUAUAGUUGAGGUAGCUGGAAUGAGUAGUGUAGCGGUGAAAUGCAUAGAUAUUACUCAGAACACCGAUUGCGAAGGCAGGUUACCAAGUUAUAACUGACGCUGAGGGACGAAAGCGUGGGGAGCGAACAGGAUUAGAUACCCUGGUAGUCCACGCCGUAAACGAUGCUAACUCGUUUUUGGGCUAUAUGGUUCAGAGACUAAGCGAAAGUGAUAAGUUAGCCACCUGGGGAGUACGACCGCAAGGUUGAAACUCAAAGGAAUUGACGGGGGCCCGCACAAGCGGUGGAUCAUGUGGUUUAAUUCGAUGAUACGCGAGGAACCUUACCAAGGCUUAAAUGGGAAUUGACAGCUGUAGAAAUACGGUUUUCUUCGGACAAUUUUCAAGGUGCUGCAUGGUUGUCGUCAGCUCGUGCCGUGAGGUGUUAGGUUAAGUCCUGCAACGAGCGCAACCCCUGUCACUAGUUGCCAUCAUUAAGUUGGGGACUCUAGUGAGACUGCCUACGCAAGUAGAGAGGAAGGUGGGGAUGACGUCAAAUCAUCACGGCCCUUACGCCUUGGGCCACACACGUGAUACAAUGGCCGGUACAGAGGGCAGCUACACUGCGAAG